This 1481-nucleotide long non-coding RNA is filed under the name Sus scrofa (pig). RNAcentral describes it as "lncRNA (ENSSSCG00040011089.1, ENSSSCG00085011650.1)". Lineage: Eukaryota; Metazoa; Chordata; Mammalia; Artiodactyla; Suidae. The record is from RNAcentral.
ACCCAUGGCAUAUGUAAGUUGCUGGGCCAGGGGUUGAAUCUGAGCUGCAGCUGCAACCUACGCCACAACUGUGGUAAUGCUGGAUCCUUUAACCCACUGAACUGAGCCAGGACGGAACUCACACCUCUGCAGUGACCCGAGCCGCUGCAGUUGGAUUCUUAACCCACAGCACCAUAGGAGGAACUCCAGUUUUCUUUUUUCUUUAGAAAACAAAUUCUCAGGAAAUUCUAUGACUAGAUAUCUGGAAGUGCAGAUUUCUACUGAUGGGACUUUAUACACGUGGGUUGCUAGUUCCAAGGGACCAAGUUUGAGCCAGAAAGCCAACAAAUUCCUAGAAAACAACAUCAACACCCAUAGUCUUCAACAUGUGGGUCGAUGGGGCUGGAGUCUAGUCUGCAGAAAGGAGAGAGAAGUGGCCACCGAGAACUUACCUCUUGGAUCUCGUCUCCUCUUUAAUUCUGUGGUCACCCUUCUUUCAAUUACAUCCAUUCUUUGCUACAUUUUUCAGAGGCAUUCUCUUUUGACAAAUCAUCAUUUUUUGUUUUUAAAGCAGUGAUAGAUGUACCCAGCACACAAUUCGAAAGAACAAAAAGGUAUAGUGGGAAACUUCAGUCUCCCUCCCACUCUGCUACCAACACUGAUUUCCUCUCCCUCAGAAAGUACCAAUUCGCCAGUUUCUUGCAUAUCCUUUCUUUUCCUUUCUACCACCAACUCCCUAGACAAGACUCCUGUCUCUUCACAGCUGUCUUAAUGUAACAGCUUGUCUCUUACACCACUUUGUCUCUUUCCAGGCCAAAUUACCCUUCCCCUAGCACGCAGAAUAACUGCAAAAAACGUCUGGGUAAGUCCUGAGCUGGAUUUUGAUAAACAUGAGACAUACGAAUGGUAAAAAAAAGAGAGGUAGGAAUCCCACGGUGGCAAUGGGGAACUUACCCAAGAGCCUAUAGAAAUGCUCUGUAAAUGUUUACUGGGUAGUUGAAAAUAACCAAUGAAAUAAACAAAGUUGCUACAGGAAUCAGAAAGGAAACAACUUCACUGCAACAGAGUUCACAAUAAAGCAUAACAAAAGGCAGAGGCCAUAGAAAUCACAGUUGUUAAUAUCUAAUCAUCAAUUAGUAGUUGAUGCCAGACACUGUUCUCAGUUUCUAAGCAAUGUAUUAUUUAUUCUCCAAACACCCUUAGGAGGUAUCACUUCAUCAUCCAUUUUAUAGAUCAGGAAAUGCAGUCUACUGGGCAGGUUUAGUAAAUUUCCAAGGAUAUCCAGCUGGUGUAUAUUCAAGUCAAAUCCAGGUUUCGAUUUGUUGUUGGGAACAAGAAUGACUUGGAUAAAGAAAUGUGGAACAUUCAGAAUUUGUAAAGUGGAAUUUGAGGGACGCUUCCUAUAUGUUUACACCAUUCUAGGUGUUGAUGAAGCUCAAACACAUGCCUAAUAUAUGGCUCCUGCCUGCAAUAAUUUCUAUAAAAUAUAUUUUUUUUAAGGG